UGGGGAAUCUUGCGCAAUGGGCGAAAGCCUGACGCAGCAACGCCGCGUGUGUGAUGAAGGUCUUCGGAUCGUAAAGCACUGUCGGGAGGGACGAAUAAGGGCCGGGUGAACAAUCCGGUUCGAUGACGGUACCUCCAAAGGAAGCACCGGCUAACUCUGUGCCAGCAGCCGCGGUAAUACAGAGGGUGCAAGCGUUGUUCGGAAUUAUUGGGCGUAAAGCGCGUGUAGGCGGUCUCGCAAGUCGGAUGUGAAAGCCCUCGGCUUAACCGAGGAAGUGCGUUCGAAACUACGAGACUUGAGUACCGGAGAGGGUGGCGGAAUUCCCGGUGUAGAGGUGAAAUUCGUAGAUAUCGGGAGGAACACCAGUGGCGAAGGCGGCCACCUGGACGGCUACUGACGC
RNAcentral lists this ribosomal RNA (400 nucleotides) under uncultured bacterium. RNAcentral's name for it is "bacterial SSU rRNA". It matches the Rfam family "Bacterial small subunit ribosomal RNA", at positions 355 to 746 of the family's 1533-position model. The record is from RNAcentral.